This 492-nucleotide ribosomal RNA is filed under the name Acinetobacter baumannii OIFC143. RNAcentral describes it as "bacterial SSU rRNA". It matches the Rfam family "Bacterial small subunit ribosomal RNA", at positions 340 to 823 of the family's 1533-position model. The record is from RNAcentral. Lineage: Bacteria; Pseudomonadati; Pseudomonadota; Gammaproteobacteria; Moraxellales; Moraxellaceae.
UACGGGAGGCAGCAGUGGGGAAUAUUGGACAAUGGGGGGAACCCUGAUCCAGCCAUGCCGCGUGUGUGAAGAAGGCCUUAUGGUUGUAAAGCACUUUAAGCGAGGAGGAGGCUACUUUAGUUAAUACCUAGAGAUAGUGGACGUUACUCGCAGAAUAAGCACCGGCUAACUCUGUGCCAGCAGCCGCGGUAAUACAGAGGGUGCGAGCGUUAAUCGGAUUUACUGGGCGUAAAGCGUGCGUAGGCGGCUUAUUAAGUCGGAUGUGAAAUCCCCGAGCUUAACUUGGGAAUUGCAUUCGAUACUGGUGAGCUAGAGUAUGGGAGAGGAUGGUAGAAUUCCAGGUGUAGCGGUGAAAUGCGUAGAGAUCUGGAGGAAUACCGAUGGCGAAGGCAGCCAUCUGGCCUAAUACUGACGCUGAGGUACGAAAGCAUGGGGAGCAAACAGGAUUAGAUACCCUGGUAGUCCAUGCCGUAAACGAUGUCUACUAGCCGU